GCUGGGAUGGCGGAAUUGGCAUACGCGAUAGCCUUAGGAGCUAUUGGGAGUAAUCCCUUGGGAGUUCAAAUCUCCCUCCCAGCA
This 84-nucleotide transfer RNA is filed under the name Patescibacteria group bacterium. Its description in RNAcentral is "tRNA-Leu". It matches the Rfam family "tRNA". From Rfam's summary of the family: Transfer RNA (tRNA) molecules are approximately 80 nucleotides in length. Their secondary structure includes four short double-helical elements and three loops (D, anti-codon, and T loops). The record is from RNAcentral.